CAGCCGCCACGGGAAUACGAAGGGUGCAAGCGUUAAUCGGAAUUACUGGGCGUAAAGCGUGCGUAGGCGGUGAGUUAAGUCUGCUGUGAAAUCCCCGGGCUCAACCUGGGAAUGGCAGUGGAUACUGGCUCGCUAGAGUGUGUCAGAGGAUGGUGGAAUUCUCGGUGUAGCGGUGAAAUGCGUAGAGAUCGGGAGGAACAUCAGUGGCGAAGGCGGCCAUCUGGGACAACACUGACGCUGAGGCACGAAAGCGUGGGGAGCAAACAGGAUUAGAUACCCCCGUAGUCCCUGUCUCUUAUAA
RNAcentral lists this ribosomal RNA (301 nucleotides) under uncultured bacterium. Its description in RNAcentral is "partial 16S ribosomal RNA". It matches the Rfam family "Bacterial small subunit ribosomal RNA", at positions 509 to 809 of the family's 1533-position model. The record is from RNAcentral.